CAUGCCCAGCCUGUUGGGAGCUCCACCCUACUCUGGCCUGGGCGGUGUAGGGGAUCCCUAUGCGCCCCUCAUGGUGCUGAUGUGCCGGGUGUGCCUGGAAGACAAGCCCAUCAAGCCCCUGCCUUGCUGCAAGAAGGCCGUGUGCGAGGAGUGCCUCAAAGUCUACCUGAGCGCCCAGAUGGAGUCUCACUCUGUUGCCAGGCUGGAGUGCAGUGGCAUGAUCUCGGCUCAUGGAAACCUCCACCUCCCGGGUUCAAGCGAUUCUCCUGCCUCA
RNAcentral lists this small RNA (274 nucleotides) under Pongo abelii (Sumatran orangutan). RNAcentral's name for it is "processed transcript". The record is from RNAcentral. Lineage: Eukaryota; Metazoa; Chordata; Mammalia; Primates; Hominidae.